Molecule: ribosomal RNA, 253 nt
Filed under: uncultured bacterium
Lineage: Bacteria
Description: partial 16S ribosomal RNA
Rfam family: Bacterial small subunit ribosomal RNA
Source: RNAcentral
UACGUAGGGUGCGAGCGUUAAUCGGAAUUACUGGGCGUAAAGCGUGCGCAGGCGGUUCGUUAAGUCAGAUGUGAAAGCCCCGGGCUCAACCUGGGAACUGCAUUUGAAACUGGCGGGCUUGAGUGUGGCAGAGGGGGGUGGAAUUCCGCGUGUAGCAGUGAAAUGCGUAGAGAUGCGGAGGAACACCGAUGGCGAAGGCGGAUCUCUGGGCCUUACCUGACGCUGAGGAGCGAAAGCAUGGGGAGCAAACAGG